GAUGAACGCUGGCGGCGUGCCUAAUACAUGCAAGUCGAGCGAACGGACGAGAAGCUUGCGUCUCUGAUGUUAGCGGCGGACGGGCGAGUAACACGUGGAUAACCUACCUAUAAGACUGGGAUAAAUUCGGGAAACCGGAGAUAAUACCGGAUAAUAUUUUGAACCGCAUGGUUCAAAAGUGAAUGACGGUUUUGCUGUCACUUAUAGAUGGAUCCGCGCUGCAUUAGCUAGUUGGUAAGGUAACGGCUUACCAAGGCAACGAUGCAUAGCCGACCUGAGAGGGUGAUCGGCCACACUGGAACUGAGACACGGUCCAGACUCCUACGGGAGGCAGCAGUAGGGAAUCUUCCGCAAUGGGCGAAAGCCUGACGGAGCAACGCCGCGUGAGUGAUGAAGGUCUUCGGAUCGUAAAACUCUGUUAUUAGGGAAGAACAUAUGUGUAAGUAACUGUGCACAUCUUGACGGUACCUAAUCAGAAAGCCACGGCUAACUACGUG
This 497-nucleotide ribosomal RNA is filed under the name uncultured bacterium. RNAcentral's name for it is "partial 16S ribosomal RNA". It matches the Rfam family "Bacterial small subunit ribosomal RNA", at positions 28 to 507 of the family's 1533-position model. The record is from RNAcentral.